This 484-nucleotide ribosomal RNA is filed under the name uncultured bacterium. Its description in RNAcentral is "partial 16S ribosomal RNA". It matches the Rfam family "Bacterial small subunit ribosomal RNA", at positions 30 to 507 of the family's 1533-position model. The record is from RNAcentral.
AUUGAACGCUGGCGGCAGGCCUAACACAUGCAAGUCGAGCGGAUGAAGGGAGCUUGCUCCUGGAUUCCGCGGCGGGCGGGUGAGUAAUGCCUAGGAAUCUGCCUGGUAGUGGGGGAUAACGUCCGGUAACGGGCGCUAAUACCGCAUACGUUCUGAGGGUGAAAGUGGGGGAUCUUUGGACCUCACGCUAUCUGAUGAGCCUAGGUCGGAUUAGCUAGUUGGUGGGGUAAAGGCCUACCAAGGCGACGAUCCGUAACUGGUCUGAGAGGAUGAUCAGUCACACUGGAACUGAGACACGGUCCAGACUCCUACGGGAGGCAGCAGUGGGGAAUAUUGGACAAAGGGCGAAAGCCUGAUCCAGCCAUGCCGCGUGUGUGAAGAAGGUCUUCGGAUUGUAAAGCACUUUUAGUUGGGAGGAAGGGCAGUAAGUUAAUACCUUGCUGUUUUGACGUUACCAACAGAAUAAGCACCGGCUAACUACGUG